This 491-nucleotide ribosomal RNA is filed under the name uncultured bacterium. Its description in RNAcentral is "partial 16S ribosomal RNA". It matches the Rfam family "Bacterial small subunit ribosomal RNA", at positions 28 to 507 of the family's 1533-position model. The record is from RNAcentral.
GAUGAACGCUAGCUACAGGCUUAACACAUGCAAGUCGAGGGGAAACGACAUUGCAGCUUGCUUCGAUGGUCGUCGACCGGCGCACGGGUGAGUAACGCGUAUCCAACCUGCCUCUGACCAAGGGAUAACCCGUCGAAAGUCGGCCUAAUACCUUAUGCAGUCGUCGGAAGUCAUCUGAUGACGACGAAAGAUUUCAUCGGUGAGAGAUGGGGAUGCGUCUGAUUAGCUUGUUGGCGGGGUAACGGCCCACCAAGGCAACGAUCAGUAGGGGUUCUGAGAGGAAGGUCCCCCACAUUGGAACUGAGACACGGUCCAAACUCCUACGGGAGGCAGCAGUGAGGAAUAUUGGUCAAUGGGCGAGAGCCUGAACCAGCCAAGUAGCGUGCAGGAUGACGGCCCUAUGGGUUGUAAACUGCUUUUAUGCGGGGAUAAAGUGAGGGACGUGUCCUUCAUUGCAGGUACCGCAUGAAUAAGGACCGGCUAAUUCCGUG